GGGCAUGUGGCGCAGUGGUAGCGCUUCCGCUUCGCACUGCUUUGGCGUGUGAAUGCGGAAGGUUUUGGGUUCGAGUCCCAACUUGUUCA
Molecule: non-coding RNA, 89 nt
Organism: Westerdykella ornata
Lineage: Eukaryota; Fungi; Ascomycota; Dothideomycetes; Pleosporales; Sporormiaceae
Source: the annotation of a RefSeq genome assembly